RNAcentral lists this ribosomal RNA (820 nucleotides) under uncultured Actinomycetes bacterium. RNAcentral describes it as "bacterial SSU rRNA". It matches the Rfam family "Bacterial small subunit ribosomal RNA", at positions 70 to 866 of the family's 1533-position model. Lineage: Bacteria; Bacillati; Actinomycetota; Actinomycetes. The record is from RNAcentral.
AAAGUCCCCUUCGGGGGGCGAGUAGAGUGGCGCACGGGUGAGUAACACGUAGGUAAUCUACCUUUGGAUUGGGAAUAACAACCGGAAACGGUUGCUAAUACCGAAUAAUGCAGCGGCACCUAGUGGUGACAGUUGUUAAAGCGGGGGAUCGCAAGACCUCGCGUCUGAAGAGGAGCCUGCGGCAGAUUAGCUAGUUGGUAAGGUAACGGCUUACCAAGGCGAUGAUCUGUAGCCGGCCUGAGAGGGCGGUCGGCCACACUGACACUGACAUACGGGUCAGACUCCUACGGGAGGCAGCAGUCGGGAAUUUUGGGCAAUGGGCGAAAGCCUGACCCAGCAACGCCGCGUGAAGGAUGAAAUCCUUCGGGAUGUAAACUUCGCAAGAACGGGAAGAAUAAGUAAGAGUUAAUAUCUCUUAUGAUGACGGUACUGUUUGUAAGCUCCGGCUAACUCCGUGCCAGCAGCCGCGGUAAUACGGGGGGGAGCAAGCGUUGUUCGGAUUUACUGGGCGUAAAGGGCGCGUAGGCGGCCACCGCAAGUCGACUGUGAAAUCUCCGGGCUUAACCCGGAAAGGUCAGCCGAUACUGCGGGGCUAGAGUGCAGAAGGGGCAACUGGAAUUCUCGGUGUAGCGGUGAAAUGCGUAGAUAUCGAGAGGAACACCUGCGGCGAAGGCGGGUUGCUGGGCUGACACUGACGCUGAUGCGCGAAAGCUAGGGGAGCGAACGGGAUUAGAUACCCCGGUAGUCCUAGCCUUAAACGAUGAAUGCUUGGUGUCUGGGGUUUUAUAGUCCCCGGGUGCCGUCGCUAACGCUUUAAGCA